UCUGCUUCUGGAUAUAUAUAAGCUCCCUUAUAGGUAUUCAAGUCUCCUCUCACUGCCACCACUGUAUGUGACACCAUAUCCUCAGAGCCAUUAUUUUUAGUUAUCGCACAUCCCGCAUCGAUCUGUGCAGUGCGACACUACCUCUGGUAUUAGAAUUUUUCUUCUUCUCUUACACUCCUUGGCCCUGAACGUGUAGCUAACCUCCCUCC
Molecule: long non-coding RNA, 209 nt
Filed under: Elaeis guineensis (African oil palm)
Lineage: Eukaryota; Viridiplantae; Streptophyta; Magnoliopsida; Arecales; Arecaceae
Description: long non-coding RNA (EGUI_LNC012121)
Source: RNAcentral